GCACCUUAUUAAAUGGGGAGUCGCCAAUUAUAGGAGCUACUAGUUUGCGUAGAAGUUUAUCUCCACUCUAUAUAGAAGUCGAAACUUUUUUCAGGGGCGAUGAAGUGUAUGAAUGAUGCCGACAUUUAAGAAGUAACAUUUUUUACAGAUUGUUUAGAUUUGGUAAAUAUGAUGUCUUUCUCAACUGAAUGUCCAACAUUUAUAAGAAAUUUAUAC
Molecule: small RNA, 216 nt
Filed under: Arabidopsis thaliana (thale cress)
Lineage: Eukaryota; Viridiplantae; Streptophyta; Magnoliopsida; Brassicales; Brassicaceae
Description: ATSL179990
Source: RNAcentral